GCCGGGGUGGCGGAGUGGUUAUCGCGCUGGCCUCGAAAGCCAGUGGGCCUAUGGCUCGCACGGGUUCGAAUCCCUUCCCCGGCG
Molecule: transfer RNA, 84 nt
Filed under: miscellaneous Crenarchaeota group-6 archaeon AD8-1
Lineage: Archaea; Thermoproteati; Candidatus Bathyarchaeota; Bathyarchaeia (SeqCode)
Description: tRNA-Ser
Rfam family: tRNA
About the family: Transfer RNA (tRNA) molecules are approximately 80 nucleotides in length. Their secondary structure includes four short double-helical elements and three loops (D, anti-codon, and T loops).
Source: RNAcentral